RNAcentral lists this ribosomal RNA (260 nucleotides) under uncultured bacterium. Its description in RNAcentral is "partial small subunit ribosomal RNA". It matches the Rfam family "Bacterial small subunit ribosomal RNA", at positions 26 to 291 of the family's 1533-position model. The record is from RNAcentral.
AGGACGAACGCUGGCGGCGUGCUUAACACAUGCAAGUCACGGGGGCCGGUAGCAAUACCGGUAACCGGCGAACGGGUGCGUAACACGUGAGCAACCUGCCGAUCUGAGGGGGAUAGCCGGCCCAACGGCCGGGUAAUACCGCAUACGUUCUCGAGGGGGAGUCCUCUUGAGAAGAAACCUCCGGGGCAGAUCGAGGGGCUCGCGGCCUAUCAGCUAGUUGGCGGGGUAAUGGCCCACCAAGGCAUCGACGGGUAGCUGGU